This is a long non-coding RNA of Phascolarctos cinereus (koala), 620 nucleotides long. The record is from Ensembl. NCBI's taxonomy places the organism in Eukaryota, Metazoa, Chordata, Mammalia, Diprotodontia, Phascolarctidae.
GAUUUUGUGAUUCUGGUUAAACUAUAAGCAUGAAGGAAGCAAAGAAGGAGCUUGCAGGUUGAGAGGAGGGAGAUCAUGGUGACAUAGACAAUCUCUUUAGAUUCUAGGUGCUGGUGUUUGCAGUGUGAAUGGGAGAUGAAGCAGCAUGAUACAAUCUGAUACAAAGAAGAAGUGAUGACAUCUCUAGACUCCACUAUUGUAUAUUCGUGAAAUGAACAGGAGUACACAGCUGAGAGUGAAGGUGGAGAAGAAUAUGUCAAGAGAGCAGAAAUCGAUCCUGGGAGAAAAAGUCUGAUCUGAAGCGUCUCAAGCUAAUAUUUCAGGACAGAGCAGAUAUUGACAUCAAGAAGCAGACCCAAGAGUAGUUCCUGAGUAUUCUACCUGGGAAGAUCAGGACUGAGUUAAGCCACCACAUCUAGAGAGCAGUGAGCGAGAGUUGACUAUGAAGGAUCUGAUCCAAGUGCUGGAAGAGAAAGGUUUGCCUUUGCAGGACUCCACCCUUCCACAAGUGGGUAGCACAGAGGAGGAUAUGGUUCCUGGGCUCCUGCUAUCUAAGCUUCAGGUAAAUUGGGAUUUUCAGUUUGUUUCCUGAAGUACCAUCUUAUUUCAGAGAGUUUUUA